GGGUCCUCCUGAAGUCACGCCACCCGGCUAGGGGGCGAGGAGCCUCCUACUGCCCAUCUUCCCGUCCACCACGCGCAGUUACUCACCUUUGUCUCCGGCCUGGAUUAAGGAUCCAGCCUUUCGCCUCCAUCCCUCUUGUCCCUCCUGAUCCUCCUGACCCUGUCUUUAAGAUCCCAGGAGCUGCGGUGAGGAGUGAGGCUGAGGGGCCCCUUUCAUCUGAUGCAGCGACUCCGCUUUCCUCCGGCGGCUCUGUCUAUGGCUGAGCUCUUUGAUCCUUUGAGAGAUGGUUUGACUUUUCCCGAGCAAAGAGCCUGCGUUGAAAAGCGGGGGUGGAAUUCAGUCCUCACAGAUAAUGAGGGGACAAGACCUAAUUGAACCGAGUAUUGCCGGGAAGGAAAAGGCAACGGGCCAAGCCUUUGACAGGGUGCGACACUGACUUUUAUCAUCGUUAUAGUCUUUAAAUCCUGGGAAACGAGUUGGCAACCCCAAAAUAAAGAAGUGUAAUGACGUCUGAUGACUUCACCCAAAUACAGACCAUUCCAAGAAAGACUUGCGCAGUUCUCAUGCGUGGUUGCGUUUUUGCAUAAAACUAAGAUUCCCUUUGUCCGCAUGUUUAAUAGCUUAAAAAUAAAUUGAGGUUUUUAUCGGAUAAAAGUAGCCAGGAAAAAGUGAUACAGUGAAAACGAUUACAGGAUAUUUAUAGACUUGUCUUUCAAGUUAUUAGAAGUCUCAUUCUAUCUGGGGGCAGUGAUGGUGGUGGUGGUAGUGGAACUUGUGAAUUGAGAUUCAUAGUGGAACUUGUGAAUUGAGAUUCAUCUCGAAACUGGAGGCAUGGCUGAGACUUCUAAUAAAGACAACCUCAGU
This 864-nucleotide long non-coding RNA is filed under the name Homo sapiens (human). Its description in RNAcentral is "HSALNT0342500". Lineage: Eukaryota; Metazoa; Chordata; Mammalia; Primates; Hominidae. The record is from RNAcentral.